UUACUGUGAUGAGAUUCCACUGUAUGGUCGGUGUUUCUGAAACACAUGAUUUUUUUUUUUGGAAUUUCUGAUUCU
Suricata suricatta (meerkat) is the source of this 75-nucleotide small nucleolar RNA. Its record names the gene SNORD18. It matches the Rfam family "Small nucleolar RNA SNORD18". Rfam says of the family: U18 is a member of the C/D class of snoRNA which contain the C (UGAUGA) and D (CUGA) box motifs. It is encoded in introns of ribosomal protein L1 in Xenopus and human, and in introns of elongation factor 1 beta in yeast. The record is from Ensembl. NCBI's taxonomy places the organism in Eukaryota, Metazoa, Chordata, Mammalia, Carnivora, Herpestidae.